GCACUGCUGAGGAGUCCCACAAUAGGACGAAACCACCAUCCAGUGC
Molecule: non-coding RNA, 46 nt
Organism: Schistosoma curassoni
Lineage: Eukaryota; Metazoa; Platyhelminthes; Trematoda; Strigeidida; Schistosomatidae
Source: Rfam